UACGAAGGGGGCUAGCGUUGCUCGGAAUCACUGGGCGUAAAGCGCACGUAGGCGGAUUGCUAAGUCAGGGGUGAAAUCCUGGAGCUCAACUCCAGAACUGCCCUUGAUACUGGCGGUCUCGAGUCCGGGAGAGGUGAGUGGAACUGCGAGUGUAGAGGUGAAAUUCGUAGAUAUUAGGAAGAACACCAGUGGCGAAGGCGGCUCACUGGCUCGGUACUGACGCUGAGGCGCGAAAGCGUGGGGAGCAAACAGG
RNAcentral lists this ribosomal RNA (253 nucleotides) under uncultured bacterium. Its description in RNAcentral is "partial 16S ribosomal RNA". It matches the Rfam family "Bacterial small subunit ribosomal RNA", at positions 524 to 776 of the family's 1533-position model. The record is from RNAcentral.